RNAcentral lists this ribosomal RNA (501 nucleotides) under uncultured bacterium. RNAcentral's name for it is "partial 16S ribosomal RNA". It matches the Rfam family "Bacterial small subunit ribosomal RNA", at positions 30 to 523 of the family's 1533-position model. The record is from RNAcentral.
AUUGAACGCUGGCGGCAGGCUUAACACAUGCAAGUCGAGCGGGGAAGGGUAGCUUGCUACCUAACCUAGCGGCGGACGGGUGAGUAAUGCUUAGGAAUCUGCCAUUUAGUGGGGGACAACAUUCCGAAAGGAAUGCUAAUACCGCAUACGUCCUACGGGAGAAAGCAGGGGAUCUUCGGACCUUGCGCUAAAUGAUGAGCCGAAGUCGGAUUAGCUAGUUGGUGGGGUAAAGGCCUACCAAGGCGACGAUCUGUAGCGGGCCUGAGAGGAUGAUCCGCCACACUGGGACUGAGACACGGCCCAGACUCCUACGGGAGGCAGCAGUGGGGAAUAUUGGACAAUGGGCGGAAGCCUGAUCCAGCCAUGCCGCGUGUGUGAAGAAGGCCUUAUGGUUGUAAAGCACUUUAAGCGAGGAGGAGGCUACUUAGAUUAAUACUCUAGGAUAGUGGACGUUACUCGCAGAAUAAGCACCGGCUAACUCUGUGCCAGCCGCCGCAGUAA